UUUCGACAGGGGCAUACUCGGAGAAAUCCGACGACGCAAAGCCAUGGGUCCUCGGUUCCGCAAAGUGCGGUUCACGGAUUGCCAGGUUGCCGAA
Molecule: non-coding RNA, 94 nt
Filed under: Desulfuromonas soudanensis
Lineage: Bacteria; Pseudomonadati; Thermodesulfobacteriota; Desulfuromonadia; Desulfuromonadales; Desulfuromonadaceae
Description: c-di-GMP sequence
Rfam family: c-di-GMP-I riboswitch aptamer
About the family: GEMM was predicted in a large-scale screen for bacterial structured RNA regulatory elements. Genes associated with GEMM are involved in a diverse array of functions, including chemotaxis regulation, signal transduction, secretion and chitin.
Source: Rfam by way of RNAcentral